Prionailurus viverrinus (fishing cat) is the source of this 1241-nucleotide long non-coding RNA. RefSeq lists it as uncharacterized. Lineage: Eukaryota; Metazoa; Chordata; Mammalia; Carnivora; Felidae. The transcript has 3 exons. The record is from RefSeq and is a predicted model, not a curated record.
AGAUUAAGUGGCUAAAUGUAUUUAAAGCCCAAGAACUAGGUCUUACACAUGUUAGCUGCUACUUUUAUUAUUUAUUACUUAUAAGCAAAUAUGCCACCCUGGGUCCUCUAUACUCUAAGAGAGGUAUUGGCUCUGUUCUCUGAAGGGUUUGUGCUGAUUCAUUGCCCUUUUUCAUCCCAAAACAUUUGUGAGGAAACUAGGUUUAAUUUGGGUUAUUGUCUGUGACUGGGAAGCAGAGUAUAAAGUUACUGGUAACAUUUGAGGGUGGAUCAUGUCAGGCCUUAACAGGUUCCCUUGUGCUUCUCCUUAUAGUUGACCCCUGUCUGUAGGUUCUGGUCGUGAAGGAGUCACCUCACAAAUAAUCUGUCUUGACUCUACCUUUGUGUAACCCCUCAUCUCUGUGGUGUAAUCUUCCUGCUCUUGGUUAUCUCACUCUAGGUCUUGCCAGAACCUCCUCUUAGCCUCCCCUCCUAGCCCUACCUCUUCCCCAAUACUAAUUAGGUGACUCAGGCUCUGAUACUGAUCCCCGAAUUCCCAAAUUCCUCUUGCCUCCAUGCUUGACAUUCUGAGCAUUUGUUCUCCUAAGUUUUACUUCCGCUGAGCCUGUCCUAUCCUCUGGACACUUUUCUACCUCCUGCCUUUUUUGCCUACUGUUGUUGGGAUACAUUGGUCGCCAUUGACAAUGGACUUUCAACCAGUAUCUAAAGCAGCAUAUCUUCUUCACCUCCAACCUCUUCCUGGUACUGUUGCUUCAUUUAAGAGAGGGCAGAAAUUCUGUGUGUUCACCAAAACUCACCACAAGUUUCUUCUACCCCCUAAAUAUACAGCUAGGCCAUAUUUCCCAGUCUCCCUUAUAGUUAGGUUUGGUCAUGGGGCUGAAUUUUGCUUGAAGGAACGUGGGUAAAAAUGAUGUCCAAUCCUCAUGAGAUCCUCUAUGCCCUCUCUCUCCUCCGCUACCUCCUGGCAAGAUAGCAAGAUUCUAACAGAGGGAUCCAAGACUAUACAAGAAGACAGAGCCAUAGGAUGCAAGGACCCCGGAUUUCUGAGUGACCACGUGGAAGGCUGCCUAUUGACCAGGAAUUGGACUUGGUGGGUGGUGUUGCCAGAGUUUGCCUGCAAAGUGGAAUCUUUGUGAAAGAAAAAGAAAGAUUUGAUGGACAAGAUUUAUUGUGUGCAAGGACUCAACUCUGUGACCCAAGAGAACGUGGGUAUCUUCACUUAAUACAAGGGCAAACACAAGA